AUCCACCUACGGGGGGCAGCAGUGGGGGAUAUUGCACAAUGGGGGAAACCCUGAUGCAGCGACGCCGCGUGUGGGAAGACGGUCCUCUGGAUUGUAAACCACUGUCCCCAGGGACGAAAAUGACGGUACCUGGGGAGGAAGCUCCGGCUAACUACGUGCCAGCAGCCGCGGUAAUACGUAGGGAGCGAGCGUUGUCCGGAAUUACUGGGUGUAAAGGGAGCGGAGGCGGGGAU
This 233-nucleotide ribosomal RNA is filed under the name uncultured bacterium. RNAcentral's name for it is "partial 16S ribosomal RNA". It matches the Rfam family "Bacterial small subunit ribosomal RNA", at positions 333 to 582 of the family's 1533-position model. The record is from RNAcentral.